AACCACAUUCUUUCAGGUUUGUGUAUCAUCAGGAAUAAACAUUUUGCAAUGGCACCUAAAGUUAACAGUUCUUUAGAUCAGUGGUCUCCAAAGUGGGGUGCGUAAGACAAUCCAUUGGGGUGUGGGAAGAAAAUAUUAGAACUUCUAUUUAGAUGUAUAUUUAUAUAAAUAUACAUAUAUUGGUGGUGCGUGCUCAAAAAUUGUUUACUGAUAGGGGUGCGCGAAUAUAAAUAUAUUGGGGUGGGUGCUCAAAAAUUUUUUACUGAUGGGGUGUGCGAUCAAAAAAGUUUGGAGACCACUGCUUUAGAUAAUGCAUCAACCAGAAUAGAACGCAGCUUAGCCAGUUGCAACUCUAUUAGCUUGAAAGUGUAAAGAGGAAUAAAAGCCUACCACUUGUCACAAAAAUAAGCAGAGAAAAUUGGAUUCCAUCUGGUUUGACCUAAUCUAGGAAUGGAGUGUGAGAUUCAACUGAAAACUCCAUUCAGUAAACCUGUUGAUGUCUAUGGCUUUACUAAGAAAACCUGAAUUCAGGUGAAUUCUGCAAACUACACUAAGUGUCUUUGCCUAGUUGUGCAACUUGGAAAAAAACAAAGCACUAUUGGCCUCUUCAGAGCAUGAGCAUUUGAUGGCUUUAUGGUGUGUCCAGGGCCAUAUCUUUCUAGAUAUGAUGGAAGAAGAAUACCAACAGAGGAAGCAGUCCUUCUGCUGCUUCAAUAUUGUGACUUGCAGCCUGUCUGAAAGCAUAACAAAGACUCAAUUGUACAACUGUCCAGCUGAGCCAACAAGCAAUGAAUAAGUGAGAGAUGGUCAACAGUGCAAAUCCUGGAUAUCACAGAGGGCAAUUCAAUGGGUGUAUUAUGCUGUGAAAUGAAUAAGGAAGGGUAUGGAGCUGCCCUGUUAUGCCUUGGAUUCCUCAGAAGCUGUGGUAAAUUAGGACUAUGUGGACUCCAUCACUGCUCUCUUCACUGCUUCUUGCUUUGUGCAAGGAUAAACUCAAAUGUUCAGCAGAGACAUUCUGUACUGGAAAAAGCUUGGUCGUCCGUCGUCUGCCCCCCGCCCCGUGAAUUGCUGCAGAUAUGUGAAAUGUCUCUGAGUUUAAGGUAAAAGUAAGCCAUGAACUGUGAUGAUUUGAGAUUGAGACCUAUACCCAGAUGCCACAGUGACAGGCUAUUUUUAUAUACAUGAAUGGAUACAAAUAACCAGAGAAGUGUGAUUCUGACUGAGUUUAUUUUCACUGCUGAGAGUAAUGUCCUCAAAGGCAAGAAAAUCUCCUUGUUAGUCUCUCUAGUUCAUUAAUAGACCCUCCCCCUACUUCAUUAUCUCCUCCCUCUUGUGGUCUCUGCUCUAUCUUUACCCUACUCAUGUAAUACUCUCCUUCUUUGUAUCUGUCCUCCGUUGUCAUCCUUGCUUUUAUGUUGUUUCGUCUCAAAUCAUUUGCUGCUUCCUCUUUUAUUCCUGUCUGGUUUUUUAGUAUUCCUCCAGGGAAUAUUCUCCCUUCUUCGCUUAGAAAAAUGGGCUUCCUAUUCUGUUGCCUUUUCAGGCCUUUCCUGUCGCACCAGCACAGGACUGAGUAGAUCAUAGACCUUCCAAGUUAGUACAAGGGUGCCUCUCUAGGCAGGAGGUCAGAUUUGUUUCCCCCCCAGGCAAACAGAUUGGAUAGAUUAUUAGAGGGGUUUGAAGAAGGCAAGGCACAAGCAGCCCAUGGGCUGUGUAAUGAGUAGCAAGGUUUUCAAGGACUUGUUACCAUAUGUAUUCCUUAAGAACAGCAUAGUCAAGUGAGGCCUUUACAUGUAUGUACUCACUGUGUUACAUUGUUUAUGCCAGCUUUGUAUUUCUAUUUGAAGUAUUUAAAACAAAAUCCCAGAUCUGAAUUUGCCUUUAGUAUAGUUUCUGAUUUGGAUCCCAACUUGACAGCUUGCUUCUGCCAGUAAUACCUGCCAUCUAAAUACUACCAUCUUUUGGAGAAAAUUGAAAGCCAGACCUAAUAUUGAGACCACCUCUCUUAAUCUGUAGAUUUUGUUUUCUCCAAAUCUGCACAUUUGAGUACUGGAACAAAUCACUCAGCAUCUCUCCAGAGUGCCCCCUUUCCUGCAGCUUCCGUUCC
Molecule: long non-coding RNA, 2104 nt
Filed under: Crocodylus porosus (Australian saltwater crocodile)
Lineage: Eukaryota; Metazoa; Chordata; Crocodylia; Crocodylidae
Description: lncRNA (ENSCPRG00005007540.1)
Source: RNAcentral